CCGGCGACCGGCGCACGGGUGAGUAACACGUAUGCAACCUGGCCGUCACAGGUGGAUAACCGGAAGAAAUUCCGACUAAUACAGCAUAACACUCCUGAGGGACAUCCUUCGGGAGUCAAAGGAGGCAACUCCGGUGACGGAUGGGCAUGCGGCGCAUUAGGUAGUUGGUAGGGUAACGGCCCACCUAACCGACGAUGCGUAGGGGUUCUGAGAGGAAGGUCCCCCACACUGGUACUGAGACACGGACCAGACUCCUACGGAAGGCAGCAG
This 270-nucleotide ribosomal RNA is filed under the name uncultured bacterium. Its description in RNAcentral is "partial 16S ribosomal RNA". It matches the Rfam family "Bacterial small subunit ribosomal RNA", at positions 88 to 354 of the family's 1533-position model. The record is from RNAcentral.